CCUACGGGUGGCAGCAGUGGGGAAUAUUGGGCAAUGGGCGCUAGCCUGAACCAGCCAAGUCGCGUGAAGGAAGAAGGCCCUCGGGUUGUUAAACUUCUUUGAUAGGGAAGAGUAGAAGACGGUAUCUGCCGAAUAAGACACGGCUAACUACGUGCCAGCAGCCGCGGUAAUACGGAGGUGGCCAGCGUUGUCCGGAUUUCCUGGGUGUAAAGGGCGUGUAGGCGGGUUGACAAGUCAGAUGUGAAUGCCUGCGGCUUAACCGCAGAACUGCAGUUGAAACUGGUGAUCUUGAGUACAGUAGAGGCAGGCGGAAUUCCUAGUGUAGCGGUGAAAUGCGUAGAUAUUAGGAGGAACUCCGGUUGCGAAGGCAGUCUGCUGGACAGCAACUGACGCUGAGGCGCGAAAGCGUGGGGAGCAAACAGGAUUAGAUACCCCGGUAGUC
Molecule: ribosomal RNA, 442 nt
Filed under: uncultured bacterium
Lineage: Bacteria
Description: partial 16S ribosomal RNA
Rfam family: Bacterial small subunit ribosomal RNA
Source: RNAcentral